This 497-nucleotide ribosomal RNA is filed under the name uncultured bacterium. RNAcentral describes it as "partial 16S ribosomal RNA". It matches the Rfam family "Bacterial small subunit ribosomal RNA", at positions 28 to 507 of the family's 1533-position model. The record is from RNAcentral.
GAUGAACGCUGGCGGCGUGCCUAAUACAUGCAAGUCGAGCGAACGGACGAGAAGCUUGCUUCUCUGAUGUUAGCGGCGGACGGGUGAGUAACACGUGGAUAACCUACCUAUAAGACUGGGAUAACUUCGGGAAUCCGGAGCUAAUACCGGAUAAUAUUUUGAACCGCAUGGUUCAAAAGUAAAAGACGGUCUUGCUGUCACUUAUAGAUGGAUCCGCGCUGCAUUAGCUAGUUGGUAAGGUAACGGCUUACCAAGGCAACGAUGCAUAGCCGACCUGAGAGGGUGAUCGGCCACACUGGAACGGAGACACGGUCCAGACUCCUACGGGAGGCAGCAGUAGGGAAUCUUCCGCAAUGGGCGAAAGCCUGACGGAGCAACGCCGCGUGAGUGAUGAAGGUCUUCGGAUCGUAAAACUCUGUUAUUAGGGAAGAACAUAUGUGUAAGUAACUGUGCACAUCUUGACGGUACCUAAUCAGAAAGCCACGGCUAACUACGUG